This 627-nucleotide ribosomal RNA is filed under the name Triticum aestivum (bread wheat). Its description in RNAcentral is "partial small subunit ribosomal RNA". The record is from RNAcentral. Lineage: Eukaryota; Viridiplantae; Streptophyta; Magnoliopsida; Poales; Poaceae.
AUGGUGUCAGAUCUCAUUGAUCCGGACAACUGGUCCUGGCGACACGAGCUAGUUAGAUCAAACUUCAUUGCCCCGGAUGCAGAUGCGAUCCUCAACAUACCAAUCCGGCGUGGGGGUGGUGAUGAUUUCUUUGCUUGGGCCUUUGAGACUUCAGGCAACUACACAGUUAAAUCGGCGUACCGUGCUCUAAUGAUUCAGAACGAGCGUCUUGCUCUAGGAGAAGGGACGGAUACCGGAGCUUCAAGAGAUGAAUCACAACUGUGGAGUGCUCUAUGGAAACUCAAAGUUAUCCCAAAAGUUCGUGUGUUUGGUGGCGUGUACUUCGACGGAUUCUACCGGAUGAGUGCACACUUAAACACCGUCAUAUUGCAGUCAUCGACAGAUGCAAUGUUUGCUUGUCCAAGGAGGAAGAUCUUAUGCAUGCUCUUAUUCACUGUACUCAUGCACAACGCUUCUGGAAUGAAGCUUUUGCUUGGUUUGGCAUCAUAUUACCGCCAUUACAUCCGGAUUCUUGGUCACGGGAUAUUCUAUGUGAUACGCGGUUUCCUGAGGAUGACCGACCAAAGAUCAUCACAAUCAUGUGGACGAUUUGGCAUUCUCGCAAUCGCAUUAAACAUGGAGAAGUAG